AUUCUUCAGGUGGAAUGGCUGGGUCCCCACUGGAUGGUGGGCAGAAGUACAGUGAGCAGUGUGUUUUAGGGAUUUGACUCAAAGAACCUUCAGAUGUGACCUCAUCUCAUUAUCGCAAUAGCCCUAUGGGACUGGAGGAGCUGAGCAUAUUUGCUGGUGGAUUACAGAUGAGAAUAAGUUCAAUAGCUCAGGCUCUUUUCCAUUGGUUCUCACAGAGUGUGCUUCUCGAGGGAGAGCAGCUGGGGCUUCCAUUGAACCCAGGUCUCUUCCCUUCUGCCUCAGGGAUCAUGUCCUUUUUCCUGUUGAAGCCAACCGGACCACUGGUGCUCUUUUUUUUUUUUCUUCCUUUCCUUUUCAAUACUAUUUUUUUUUUUUUUUUUGGUAGAGACAGAGUCUCACUUUACUGCCCUGAGUAGAGUGCCAUGAUGUCACACUGCUCACAGCAACCUCCAGCUCCUGGGCUUAGGUGAUUCUCUUGCCUCCCGAGCAGCUGGGACUACAGGCGCCCGCCACAACGCCCGGCUAUUUUUUUGUUACAGUUUGGCCGGGGCCGGGUUUGAACCCGAUACCCUCGGUAUAUGGGGCCGGUGCCCUACUCACUGAGCCAUAGGCGCUGCCCACCUUUCAAUAUUGUUUUAUGGUGGCAAAUACAUGGCAGAAGUUACUAUAUCGACCAUGUUUAAGUAUGUUCACGACCAUGUUCAGUGGCAUUAAGAACAUUCACAUUGUCGUGUAACCAUCAUCACCAUCUGUCCACAGAACUCUUUUCCAUGCUGCCAUAUGAAACUCUGUACCUAUUGAAUAGCAACUCCUCCACCAGCCCUGGGUGAUCUCCAUUCUACUCUGUCUUAUGCAUUUGAAUACCCUCAGCACCUCAUAUAAGUGGAUUAUACAGUGGAUUAUUCAUCUUUUUGUGACUUUUAUUUCACUUAGCAUAGUGUUCUCAAGAUUCGCUGAUGUAGCAUGUGUGAGAAUUUCCUUCUUUUUAUUUAUUUAUAUUGAUAUUUUUUAUUUUUUUGAGACAAAGCCUCAAGCUGUCACCCUGGGUAGAGUACUGUGGCAUCACAGCUCACAGCAACCUCAAACUCUCAGGCGGCAUCACAGCUCACAGCAAACUCUUCGGCUUAAGCGAUUCUCUUGCCUCAGCCUCCCAACUAGCUGGGACUACAGGCGCCCACCACCACACCUGGCUGUUUUUUGGUUGUAGUUGUUAUUGUUGUUUGGCAGGCCGUGGUUGGAUUUGAACCCACUGUCUCUGGUGUAUGUGGCUGGCCCCUUAGCCGCUUGAGCUACAGGCGCCGAGCCUCCUUCUUUUUAAAGGCUGACUAAUACUCCAUUGUAUGUGUGUGCCAUAGCAUGUGUGUAUGUUGUUUAUCUGCUCAUCUGUGAUGUACACUUGGGCCGCUUCUACCUUUUGGCUAUUGUGAACGAAGCUCCUAUCUUCUAUAAACAUGGGUGUACACAUAUCUCUUCAAGACCCUGCUUUCACGCCACCUGGGUGAAGGGCUCAACUACAACUUGAACUUUACCUUUGAAUUUUAAUCAAUGUAUCUUAAACAUUUGUACCCUCAUAUUAAUCUGGAAAAAAAGGACUCUGGUUUCCAUUCUUUUGGGAAUAUACCCAGAAGAGGAAUUAUUGGAGUGAAUAAUAAUUUUAUUUUUAGUAUUUGAGGAAUGUCAAAUGUUUUGUCUCAUUCUGUAGGUUGCCUUUUCACUCUGUUGGUAGUAUCCCUUGAUGCACAAAAGUUUUAAAUUUUUAUGAAGUCCAGUUUGUCUAUUUUUUGCUUUUGAUGCCUGAGCCUUUAGUGUCCAAAGAAAUCAUCGCCAGAUCCAAUCUUGUGAAGCUUUUGUCCUAUGUUUUCUUCUAGGAGUUUUAUAGCUUUACUUCUUAUGUUUAAUUCUUUGAUACUUUUAAUUUUUCAUAUGGUGUUAGGUAAUGUUCCAACCUUAUUCUUUUGCACUGGAUAUCCAGUUUCUCCAGCAUCAACUGUUGAAAUGACUGUCCCUUUCCUCCUGAAAGUUAUUUGCACUCCUGUCAAAAAUCAUUUGACCAUAUACGUGAGGGCUUCUUUCUGGAUUCUAUUUUAUCCCAUGGAUCUAUAUAUCUGUAUGUCUGUCUUUAUGCCAAUACUGCUGAGGCCAACACUGUUUUGAUUACUGUAGCUUUGUAGUUAGUUUUGACAUCAGAAAUUGUGAGACCUCUAACUUUUUCUUUUUCAAGAUUGUUUUGGCUGCUCAAGUUCCCUUGAGAUUUCAUAUGAUUUUAGGAUGGAUUUUUCUAUUUCUGCAGUUGCUGGGAGCCACUGAUGCAUUUCACUGUCCUUCUCCAUCAAGGUUCCCCUUUAUCUUCUGUCCUCAUUAGCUCUCUCCUAGCUGUGAAAGUGCUCACAUCUUUAUCAUCCCAGCAACUACUCCCUUGAUGCCGUGUCCACCUCAGCUAUUUGUUCUAUUUAUCUUUAUAUAUUUUCUUUUUUUCUUUUGCAGUUUCUUUUUGGCCUGGGCUGGGUUUGAACCCACCACCUCUCGCAUAUGGGGCUGGCGCCCUACUCCUUUGAGCCACAGCUUCUUAAAAAAGAAGCUCACUCUCACUCCCCACUUCCUCACAUAUGCUCAUAUGCUUCUUUUUAUUAGUUGA
Nycticebus coucang (slow loris) is the source of this 2635-nucleotide long non-coding RNA. RefSeq lists it as uncharacterized. The transcript has 4 exons. The record is from RefSeq and is a predicted model, not a curated record. Lineage: Eukaryota; Metazoa; Chordata; Mammalia; Primates; Lorisidae.